UGCAAGUCGAGCGAACGGACGAGAAGCUUGCUUCUCUGAUGUUAGCGGCGGACGGGUGAGUAACACGUGGAUAACCUACCUAUAAGACUGGGAUAACUUCGGGAAACCGGAGCUAAUACCGGAUAAUAUUUUGAACCGCAUGGUUCAAAAGUGAAAGACGGUCUUGCUGUCACUUAUAGAUGGAUCCGCGCUGCAUUAGCUAGUUGGUAAGGUAACGGCUUACCAAGGCAACGAUGCAUAGCCGACCUGAGAGGGUGAUCGGCCACACUGGAACUGAGACACGGUCCAGACUCCUACGGGAGGCAGCAGUAGGGAAUCUUCCGCAAUGGGCGAAAGCCUGACGGAGCAACGCCGCGUGAGUGAUGAAGGUCUUCGGAUCGUAAAACUCUGUUAUUAGGGAAGAACAUAUGUGUAAGUAACUGUGCACAUCUUGACGGUACCUAAUCAGAAAGCCACGGCUAACUACGUGCCAGCAGCCGCGGUAAUACGUAGGUGGCAAGCGUUAUCCGGAAUUAUUGGGCGUAAAGCGCGCGUAGGCGGUUUUUUAAGUCUGAUGUGAAAGCCCACGGCUCAACCGUGGAGGGUCAUUGGAAACUGGAAAACUUGAGUGCAGAAGAGGAAAGUGGAAUUCCAUGUGUAGCGGUGAAAUGCGCAGAGAUAUGGAGGAACACCAGUGGCGAAGGCGACUUUCUGGUCUGUAACUGACGCUGAUGUGCGAAA
RNAcentral lists this ribosomal RNA (720 nucleotides) under uncultured Staphylococcus sp. RNAcentral describes it as "bacterial SSU rRNA". It matches the Rfam family "Bacterial small subunit ribosomal RNA", at positions 56 to 758 of the family's 1533-position model. The record is from RNAcentral. Lineage: Bacteria; Bacillati; Bacillota; Bacilli; Caryophanales; Staphylococcaceae.